UUAUUAUCAACCAUGUCUCGAUUCAUUUUGAUACAUCGGCUUGGACUUUGGGAGCUGCUGGUGUGCCAUCUUAAAGGCUAUCAGCUCUUCUUAAAUAUAUUAGCGGUGGGUGGCUAGUCUUUUAGACGUGCACGGCCUUUUGACGUGAUAAUUCAUCUCAUCGUCAUGGCUGGA
Molecule: unclassified non-coding RNA, 174 nt
Filed under: uncultured Boletales
Lineage: Eukaryota; Fungi; Basidiomycota; Agaricomycetes; Boletales
Description: sequence contains ITS2
Source: RNAcentral